GUUUGUUUUUAUGAGCGUUCGGUGGAUGCCUUGGCAUCAGGGGCCGAUGAAGGACGUGGUGGCCUGCGAUAUUCCUCGGGGAGCCGGCUGGCGGGCUGUGAUCCGAGGGUUUCCGAAUGGGGGAACCCGGUACGAGUUAUGUCGUGUCACCUGCAUCUGAAUUGUAUAGGGUGUGGGGGGUGACGCGGGGAAGUGAAACAUCUCAGUACCCGUAGGAGAAGAUAUUCCGUGAGUAGUGGCGAGCGAAAGCGGAUGAUGGUUAAACCGUGUGCGUGUGAUACUCGGCAGGGGUUGCGUGUGCGGGGUUGUGGGGCUGUCCUGUUGGUCUUCUGCCGGAGACCGGGUGCGUGCUGAUCUGUAGCUGAAUCGUCUGGGAAGGCGUGGCGUAGUGGGUGAUACCCCCGUAGGCGGAACUGGUUGGUGCGUGUCUGGGGUGGUGCCCGAGUAGCACGGGGCUCGUGGAAUCCUGUGUGAAUCUGCCAAGACCACUUGGCUGCCUGAAUACCUCCUGAUGACCGAUAGUGGAUAGUACCGUGAGGGAAUGGUGAAAAGUACCCGGGAGGGGAGUGAAAUAGUACCUGGAACCGGGCGCUUGCAAGCCGUCAGAGCCUUCCACGCGUUUGUGUGUGGGGGUGGUGGCGUGCCUUUUGAAGAAUGAGCCUGCGAGUCAGUGGCGUGUCGCGAGGUUAACCCGUGUGGGGUAGCCGUAGCGAGAGCGAGUCCGAACAGGGCGAGUGUAGUGGCGCGUUCUGGACCCGAAGCGGGGUGAUCUACCCAUGGCCAGGUUGAAGCACGUGUAAGAGCGUGUGGAGGACCGAACCCACCUAGGUUGAAAACUGGGGGGAUGAGCUGUGGGUAGGGGUGAAAGGCCAAUCAAACUCCGUGAUAGCUGGUUCUCCCCGAAAUGCAUUUAGGUGCAGCGUCGCGUGUUGCCCGGCGGAGGUAGAGCUACUGGGUGGCUGAUGGGCCCCACAGGGUUACUGACGUCAACCAAACUCCGAAUGCCGUGCGGGUUGUAGCGUGGCAGUGAGACUGCGGGGGAUAAGCUCCGUGGUCGAGAGGGAAACAGCCCAGAUCGCCGGCUAAGGCCCCUAAGCGUGUGCUAAGUGGGAAAGGAUGUGCGGUCGCGCAGACAACCAGGAGGUUGGCUUAGAAGCAGCCAUCCUUGAAAGAGUGCGUAAUAGCUCACUGGUCAAGUGAUCGUGCGCCGACAAUGUAGCGGGGCUCAAGCACACCGCCGAAGCCGCGGACCCAUGACAUGGUUCCCUUCACCGUCCCGCAUUGCUGGGGUGGUGGCAGGGGUCGUGGGUGGUAGGGGAGCGUCCUGCACCGGGGGAAGCCUGUGGGUGACUGCUGGUGGACGGUGCGGGAGUGAGAAUGCAGGCAUGAGUAGCGAUACUAGGGUGAGAAGCCCUAGCGCCGAAUGACCAAGGGUUCCAGGGCCAGGCUAGUCCGCCCUGGGUGAGUCGGGACCUAAGGCGAGGCCGACAGGCGUAGUCGAUGGAUGACGGGUUGAUAUUCCCGUACCGGCGAAGCACCGCCCAUGCUGACGCGCGGGUGCUAACCCACGCCCAGCCACCAUGUAGGCCGCGCCUACUCCUUUCGGGGGGUAGUGUGGUUGUGGUGGUGGGGUCUGGGGAUCCUCCGUGCAGGUAGGCAAGCGUGUUAACAGGGGUGACGCACAGUGGUAGCCCGGCGGACCUGAUGGCUUGGUCCGUUCAAGCGCGCAGCCCGUCCUCCAGGUAAAUCCGGGGUGACUGUCUUUGAUGACGGGGGUGAGGCGUGAUGGUGACCCCACACUGGUGGGGGAUAGCAGGGUGAUCCUGGGGUGCCGAGAAAAGCCUCGACGCGAUGGUGCCAGCCGCCCGUACCCUAAACCGACACAGGUGGUCGGGCAGAGUAUGCCUAGGCGCACGAGUGAAUCAUGGUUAAGGAACUCGGCAAAAUGCCCCCGUAACUUCGGGAGAAGGGGGGCCCGAUCCCUUGAAGCCCCGUGGCGGGCUAGGGGGUGGGUCGCAGAGACCAGGGGGAAGCGACUGUUUACUAAAAACACAGGUCCGUGCGAAGCCGUAAGGCGAUGUAUACGGACUGACGCCUGCCCGGUGCUGGAAGGUUAAGAGGAACCAUCAACCCUCGGGUGAAGUGGUGAAUUUAAGCCCCAGUAAACGGCGGUGGUAACUAUAACCAUCCUAAGGUAGCGAAAUUCCUUGUCGGGUAAGUUCCGACCUGCACGAAUGGCGUAACGACUUCCCCGCUGUCUCAACCAUGAGCUCGGCGAAAUUGCAGUACGAGUAAAGAUGCUCGUUUCGCGCAGAAGGACGGAAAGACCCCGGGAC
RNAcentral lists this ribosomal RNA (2336 nucleotides) under Actinomyces naeslundii str. Howell 279. RNAcentral's name for it is "bacterial LSU rRNA". It matches the Rfam family "Bacterial large subunit ribosomal RNA", at positions 1 to 2098 of the family's 2925-position model. Lineage: Bacteria; Bacillati; Actinomycetota; Actinomycetes; Actinomycetales; Actinomycetaceae. The record is from RNAcentral.